GCCGCUGUAGCUCAGCCUGGUCAGAGCGCCGGCCUUGUAAGCCCUUCUAGAGAGCCGGAUGUCGCGGGUCCGAAUCCCGCCAGCGGCU
RNAcentral lists this transfer RNA (88 nucleotides) under Sulfuracidifex tepidarius. RNAcentral describes it as "tRNA-Thr". It matches the Rfam family "tRNA". Rfam says of the family: Transfer RNA (tRNA) molecules are approximately 80 nucleotides in length. Their secondary structure includes four short double-helical elements and three loops (D, anti-codon, and T loops). The record is from RNAcentral. Lineage: Archaea; Thermoproteati; Thermoproteota; Thermoprotei; Sulfolobales; Sulfolobaceae.